CUAUACGGUCGAAUUCAGGGUUAAUGGAUGAAAUUUUUAUUUUCGUUCGUUAACUUGAUAUUUCGAUCGUUAUCAGGACGUCGCGACCCGUUCGGUGUCGGUCAAAGGGCCACGGUGAAGUUUGUUACCCUUGCAUCGGCUCGUUUAUCCUUCGCGGGUUAAGCGAUUUUCGAUGUUUGUGGUGCAAUCCCGUGUGUGCGCUUGUUUUUUAACACGUUCCCUGGCCGACUUGCCGGACGGUAUGUAAAUAAUGUAUACCGUAGCGAUGCUUUUUUUGGUAUCGCCGGUGGUCAGCGAUGAAUAUUCGGUUCUCUUUCCGACCCGUCUUGAAACACGGACCAAGGAGUCUAACAUGUACGCGAGUCAUGGGGUGUCGAUCGGAGUUUAAUUUCGAUCGAUGUUUAACGAAACCAUAAAGGCGUAAUGAAAGUGAAUUGCGGGAGGACUGCGUCCGAGUCACGUUUCUCGGUUUAAUAUCGAGACCGGACGUACGCACUCUCGGGGCAUCCAAAUGAUACGUUUUUUCGAAUCUGGGUGCACCUUUAGCGUACAUGUUGGUACCCGAAAGAUGGUGAACUAUGCCUGGCCAGGAUGAAGUCAGGGGAAACCCUGAUGGAGGUCCGCAGCGAUUCUGACGUGCAAAUCGAUCGUCUGAGCUGGGU
This 662-nucleotide ribosomal RNA is filed under the name Orthezia sp. IMV-2016. Its description in RNAcentral is "eukaryotic LSU rRNA". It matches the Rfam family "Eukaryotic large subunit ribosomal RNA", at positions 437 to 916 of the family's 3401-position model. The record is from RNAcentral. Lineage: Eukaryota; Metazoa; Arthropoda; Insecta; Hemiptera; Ortheziidae.